AAAAAAAAAAAAAAAAAAACUCAAAACCAACCUCAAUCAUACAUUCAUAUCCUCUUCCUACCCCCAUCUUGGAUGAGAUAAGAUUAACGAGGUGCUUACACGUGUCACCUCUAUUGUGGUGACUUAAAAAAAAUUCCAACCUUUCAUAUGUAGAUAUUAAGUAAUUGUAUAAUGUUAUCAAGAACCACAUAACAUAUCAAAAACCUUAUCAUUUCAUUAUAUAAAAGGAUAGUGGACAUCAAAAGGUUCAUAUUGAACCAAAAAAAGAGAGAAGAAGCAAUAUGGCUUCCUCUGUCAUUUCUUCAGCAGCUGUUGCCACACGCAGCAAUGUUACACAAGCUAGCAUGGUUGCACCUUUCACUGGUCUCAAAUCUUCAGCCACUUUCCCUGUUACAAAGAAGCAAAACCUUGACAUCACUUCCAUUGCUAGCAAUGGUGGAAGAGUUAGCUGCAUGCAGGUAACUCACUCAUCGGUUUUCCGAAAUUGAUAUUUUCUUAGUAUGUUGUAACAUGUAAUCUGUCUUAUUUCUCGAUUCAAUUAUCUAAGGGUUAUAUGUAUGUUAGCUACUCUCUCUGGCUUAAUUUAUGUGACGGUAGUACUAUUUUAUUUUAGUUAGUAUAAAAAAGAGUGAUUUACUUUGUUUCAGUUUGUUUGUUUAAUCUUAAUUUAACAUAACUUUUAAGAAAAUUAAAAAGUCUUUUGAAUUUGUAGUUUUAAAUUAAAGUUACGUAGAAUGUAUUAAAAUAUCCUACAUUUUGUGAUUUCAAACAUGUUAACUGUCACGUGAAAAAUUAGAAUUAGAUAAUUAUCAAAAAAAAAAAAAGAGACUUUAGAAGAGUAAUAUAAACAAAUUGAAACAUGAGUAUAUGUAGUUACUGACCUCUGAUCUAGUUUAUGCCAUUAUUAUUUUUCUUUUUAAGUCUGUUUUAAAAGAAUGACAUAUUUUUAUAUUUAAUAGCAGUAUUGAUUUAAGUUUGAAAAAAAUUUCUAUUUUAUCUUUAAUGAGAUGAUUUAUAAUUACAUAAGUAUUUAUAUUAUCUUAGACCAUAAACUACGAAAAUCUCUGUUUAUUCUUAAAAUUCCAUUUACCAUUAAGUACCUCCACAUAAGAAUUAAAAAAAGAGAGUAUCUUUCAAAUUAUCUGAUAAUUCAUAGAAGUUAAAAGAUCCAAUUGCUUAACUUAUCUUUGAUUAUAUUAAACACAUGAAAAGUGUAUCCUACGUAUAAUCUCUACGUUCAAAAUUAAAGACAAAUUUAAGAUCUAGAAUUGAUGAACUCAAAAUAUCUCUAUCUUAUUAUUAUUAUGUAUAUAUACAACUUAAUUUUUCGAAAUGUUGAUGAAUGUAUGUUAAAUCCUUUACAAUAGUGCAUUUUUAGAUAAUUCGAUAAGAGUGUAACAAUAUUUUCAGAAAGUCGAUAACUUUUUUUUCUUUUUUUUUUUUGGAUAUGUGUAUAGGUGUGGCCACCAAUUAACAUGAAGAAGUACGAGACACUCUCAUACCUUCCUGAUUUGUCUGACGAGCAAUUGCUUAGUGAAAUUGAGUACCUUUUGAAAAAUGGAUGGGUUCCUUGCUUGGAAUUUGAGACUGAGGUCAAUAUCAUAUUUACUUUUGUUUUAUCGAAAAAUGAUAUAUUUUUAUAUUUAGAUACGAUUUAUAUUUAACACUUCAAUGUUUUUUUUAUGUGUAGCACGGAUUUGUCUACCGUGAGAACAACAAGUCACCAGGAUA
Molecule: long non-coding RNA, 1731 nt
Filed under: Solanum lycopersicum (tomato)
Lineage: Eukaryota; Viridiplantae; Streptophyta; Magnoliopsida; Solanales; Solanaceae
Description: long non-coding RNA (SLYC_LNC001277)
Source: RNAcentral